This 552-nucleotide long non-coding RNA is filed under the name Musa acuminata (dwarf banana). RNAcentral describes it as "long non-coding RNA (MACU_LNC001216)". The record is from RNAcentral. Lineage: Eukaryota; Viridiplantae; Streptophyta; Magnoliopsida; Zingiberales; Musaceae.
UCCUCUCCCUGUCUUUAGCCGAGCAAAAUCUUUCUUAUUCGAUCACAAGAAAAAUCUCAUUUAGAUCUUCCUCCUACUACCUCGGGACUUGAGUCUUGAUCAACAUUUUUGUCUGUGUGUCGUUAUCCCUUUUAUCCAAUUUCUUUAAUGCCAUCCCCACUGCACAACAUCUUCUCCUUCUUAGUUGCCCUUUACGUACCUGUGGAGGUAUGAAUGCUUCGUGUUCAUGUCCUGCACAAAUAAUAAAUGAGAAAUAUGAAAGAAGUAGAUGUAUUAAGAUGAAGUACUAACGAUUAGACCAAAUGGCGGUAUCAUUGUUUGAUUGAAUUGGCAGGUCACCUGGGUGGAGCACGCGGAGUACGACGAAGGCCAAGUGCAUCAUCUGUAUCGCCCGCUGCUCCGCUCCGGCCAGGCGUUCGGCGCCGGACGCUGGGUUGCCACCCUACAGCGCCAGUGCGAGUGCCUUGCCACCCUCGUGUCCUCCACCGCCGUGGCCCGCGACGAGACUGGUAAGGAGCCAGCCACUUGAUCUCUGAAGCAUCGUGAACAGCG